RNAcentral lists this ribosomal RNA (112 nucleotides) under Bacteroidota bacterium. Lineage: Bacteria; Pseudomonadati; Bacteroidota. RNAcentral also lists the same sequence under 1 other name. The record is from RNAcentral.
CGAGGUGAUUAUAGCGGGGAGGCACCACCUCUUCCCAUCCCGAACAGAGAAGUUAAGCUCCCCAGCGCCGAUGGUACUGCCGUAAAGGUGGGAGAGUAGGACGUUGCCGUUU